GAUCAUGGCUCAGGAUGAACGCUAGCUACAGGCUUAACACAUGCAAGUCGAGGGGCAGCAUGAACUUAGCUUGCUAAGUUGAUGGCGACCGGCGCACGGGUGAGUAACGCGUAUCCAACCUUCCCCUUAGUAGGGCAUAGCCCGUAGAAAUGCGGAUUAAUACCCUAUGUUUUUCCAAUGAGGACAUCUGAGCUGGAACAAAGGUUUACCGCUAAGGGAUGGGGAUGCGUCUGAUUAGGCAGCAGGCGGGGUAACGGCCCACCUGGCCUACGAUCAGUAGGGGUUCUGAGAGGAAGGUCCCCCACAUUGGAACUGAGACACGGUCCAAACUCCUACGGGAGGCAGCAGUGAGGAAUAUUGGUCAAUGGGCGAGAGCCUGAACCAGCCAAGUAGCGUGCCAGGAUGACGGCCCUAUGGGUUGUAAACUGCUUUUAUGCGGGGAUAAAGUUCACUACGUGUAGUGUUUUGUAGGUACCGCAUGAAUAAGGACCGGCUAAUUCCGUGCCAGCCGCUGC
This 515-nucleotide ribosomal RNA is filed under the name uncultured bacterium. RNAcentral's name for it is "bacterial SSU rRNA". It matches the Rfam family "Bacterial small subunit ribosomal RNA", at positions 15 to 518 of the family's 1533-position model. The record is from RNAcentral.